Molecule: long non-coding RNA, 1489 nt
Filed under: Gallus gallus (chicken)
Lineage: Eukaryota; Metazoa; Chordata; Aves; Galliformes; Phasianidae
Description: lncRNA (ENSGALG00010009319.1)
Source: RNAcentral
CUCCUAUCCCUGAGCACAGAGGAACAGAUCUCUCUGACAUCAAUUUAAACCAGAAAUGUUUCUCACAAAAAAAGAUUGCACCCACCAUCCUUUCUUUUGCUCCAUCUACAUCAAAAACACCACGUGCUCUUCAACAUCUUUGUGGAUGCCCCAUCCCUGGAGGCAUUCAAGGCCAGGUUGGAUGGGGCCAUGGGCAGCCUGGUCUAGUAUUAAAUGUGGAGGUUGGUGGCCCUGCCUGUGGUGUGGGGGUUGGAGAUUCACGAUCCUUGGGGUCCCUUCCAACCCAGGCCAUUCUGUGAUUCUGUGAUAAAUAGUACAAGGGAUAGUGCAAAUAGGAUUGAGCCAGGGUCCUUUCAGUGGUGCCCAGGGCCAGGACAAGGGGCCCUGGGUACAAACUGAAGCUCAGGAGGAUCCUUCAGGACACCAGGCCUCACUUCUGUAUGCUGCCCUACAGAGGACCUGAAGUUGUCUCCAUGGAGAUCUCCAAAAGCCCCUGGAUGUGGUGCUGGGCACCCUGCUCUGGGUGUCCAUCAGUGGAGCAGGGUUGGGCCAGAGGGAACCAGAGAUGCCUUCAGCCUUAUCCAUUCUGUGAUUUUCCAAAAUCCUUGUUCUUUGCUGGCCUAGCCUUUUGAAACCAGUUACAACACUGCAGAAGAAAUCCUAGGAAAGAAGAGUUGAUCAAAGUUACUUCAUAAGGAGGCUGUAUGAAAUGGGAAAAUAGUUUAUUGACUGUGUAAAUGAAUUUGAAUCCAUUUGGCUCUCAGUGACUAGCUUAUGACUUUUCAUAAAGGAAGAAAAGCCUGAAAGACUGGAACACAGAAAAAAAUAUUUUCUGCAGUUUGUAUUUCCAGCUAUCCUCAUUUCAGUCCUCCCAAAUGCUGCAAAUGUUUGCAGUGUUUUGUCUUCUGUCAGAGGAGAGAAUGGGACAAGGGUUUUGUAUUUAUAGGAAUUAAUGGACUCUUUGGGUAUCUGAAGUGACAGCAGCAAAGUCAGUCUUACAGGAUCAUAUUAUUUCACUUCCACAAAAUUGUUGGGCUCUGCAGAGCUUAGCAGAUCUUUCAUUCAUGGAUAUGACUACAGGUAAUGGUAACUAACAAGUGCAGCAACAUUCAAGCAUCUUUUUUUUAGUGUUUGGUUUGGCAAGCAAUAGCUUUCAUUGCAGCCUGAAACCUCUGUCAGUUGAUUACUGGACCAAUCAUUGUGGCAUCAUAAAAUACCUACUCCUUGCACAAAGCUUUCCUUAUCACACUCCAGGAUUUGUUGACAUGGGGCCAACUUUGUGUACUUACAGACAUUCAUUUAGUUUCUCUACAUUCCUGCUUUAACAGAAGCAAAGCACUGAGGAAGUGAAGAAAUAAUUAAAAAUGAUUCAAAAGUUUCUGACAUUUCUAAGGGACUUUCUCACAAAUUGGGACCCAAAAUUCCUAAUAUAUUAAUUUUAGAAAUGCCUUAUUUCUGAAAGCAAAGUGCCACUGGCAAUUUAAAAAAG